Molecule: ribosomal RNA, 871 nt
Filed under: Photinus pyralis (common eastern firefly)
Lineage: Eukaryota; Metazoa; Arthropoda; Insecta; Coleoptera; Lampyridae
Description: SSU rRNA
Rfam family: Eukaryotic small subunit ribosomal RNA
Source: RNAcentral
CUCCCGGCACGGGGAGGUAGUGACGAAAAAUAACGAUACGGGACUCAUCCGAGGCCCCGUGAUCGGAAUGAGCACACUUUAAAUCCUUUAACGAGGAUCAAUUGGAGGGCAAGUCUGGUGCCAGCAGCCGCGGUAAUUCCAGCUCCAAUAGCGUAUAUUAAAGUUGCUGCGGUUAAAAAGCUCGUAGUCGAAAUUGUGUCCUCGGCCGCCGGUUCGUCGCUCGCGACGCCAACUGGCGCGCACCGCUGGACGUCCAGCCGGUACAACGAACUCGCCUACGGGGUGCUCUUAACCGAGUGUCCAGGCGGGGGCCGGCAACGUUACUUUGAACAAAUUAAAGUGCUUAAAGCAGGCUAAAUUGCGCUCGCAUACACGCGCAUGGAAUAAUCGAAUAGGACCUCCGUUCUAUUUUGUUGGGUUUUUGUGGAACGACAGACGGAGGUAAUGAUCAAUGGGUGCGGAUGGGGGCAUUCGUAUUGCGACGUUAGAGGUGAAAUUCUUGGACCGUCGCAAGACGGACUUAAGCGAAAGCAUUUGCCAAAAACGCUUUCAUCGAUCAAGAACGAAAGUUAGAGGUUCGAAGGCGAUCAGAUACCGCCCUAGUUCUAACCAUAAACUAUGCCAGCUAGCGAUCCGCCGAAGUUACUUCUAUGACUCGGCGGGCAGCUUCCGGGAAACCAAAGCUUUCGGGUUCCGGGGGAAGUAUGGUUGCAAAGCUGAAACUUAAAGGAAUUGACGGAAGGGCACCACCAGGAGUGGAGCCUGCGGCUUAAUUUGACUCAACACGGGAAACCUCACCAGGCCCGGACACCGGAAGGAUUGACAGAUUGAGAGCUCUUUCUUGAUUCGGUGGGUGGUGGUGCAUGGCCGU